GCCAGAAUUGGAAGAACUGCCUGGGGCUGAAUGGGUCCCCCUUCCCUGCCGGGCCCUGACCCUUCCUAAGUGCUGCAAGCUGGAUGGAGGGUCAGCUGUCAGCCGUCAAUGUCAGAUGAGGAACAAGUCUGCAGGUUCUCAACGUACAGAAGCCAGAAAGGAAACUGAGGCCUGGAGAAAGGAAGUGACUUUUAGCCAAGUUGUGGCCAAAUCAUGAUGACGUCUGAGGUGUCCUGACUCCCAGGUGAACACUGUUUUGACUGGAUAAUUCUGCCCGAGUAUGGCAGGGGCUGUUUUCCGUGCGGUUCAGCACAAUACAGAAAUGUUCAUACAUCAUAGCAUCACUUCCAUAGACGUUUCUGGGGAAGGAAAAGACAUGAGGUGGGAGAGGAGUUACUCUGAACGGCAUUUUAUUCAUCAGUGCCAGCUACUGUGCUUUGCAGAAAAUGCUCGGCUUUCUUCUGGAG
Molecule: long non-coding RNA, 467 nt
Organism: Artibeus jamaicensis (Jamaican fruit-eating bat)
Lineage: Eukaryota; Metazoa; Chordata; Mammalia; Chiroptera; Phyllostomidae
Exons: 4
Source: RefSeq, a predicted model, not a curated record